UACGUAGGGGGCGAGCGUUGUCCGGAUUUAUUGGGCGUAAAGAGCGUGUAGGCGGCUGGGUAGGUCCGUUGUGAAAACUCGAGGCUCAACCUCGAGACGCCGGUGGAAACCGUAAAGCUAGAGUCCGGAAGAGGAGAGUGGAAUUCCUGGUGUAGCGGUGAAAUGCGCAGAUAUCAGGAGGAACACCCGUGGCGAAAGCGGCUCUCUGGGACGGUACUGACGCUGAGACGCGAAAGCGUGGGGAGCAAACAGG
RNAcentral lists this ribosomal RNA (253 nucleotides) under uncultured bacterium. RNAcentral describes it as "partial 16S ribosomal RNA". It matches the Rfam family "Bacterial small subunit ribosomal RNA", at positions 524 to 776 of the family's 1533-position model. The record is from RNAcentral.